GACGAACGCUGGCGGCGUGCUUAACACAUGCAAGUCGAACGGAAAGGCCCUGCUUGCAGGGUACUCGAGUGGCGAACGGGUGAGUAACACGUGGGUGAUCUGCCCUGCACUUCGGGAUAAGCCUGGGAAACUGGGUCUAAUACCGGAUAGGAGCCAUUUUUAGUGUGAUGGUUGGAAAGUUUUUUCGGUGUAGGAUGAGCUCGCGGCCUAUCAGCUUGUUGGUGGGGUAAUGGCCUACCAAGGCGGCGACGGGUAGCCGGCCUGAGAGGGUGGACGGCCACAAUGGGACUGAGAUACGGCCCAGACUCCUACGGGAGGCAGCAGGGGGGAAUAUUGCACAAUGGGCGCAAGCCUGAUGCAGCGACGCCGCGUGGGGGAUGACGGCCUUCGGGUUGGAAACUCCUUUCGCUAGGGACGAAGCUUUUUGUGACGGUACCUAGAUAAGAAGCACCGGCUAACUACGUG
RNAcentral lists this ribosomal RNA (465 nucleotides) under uncultured bacterium. RNAcentral's name for it is "partial 16S ribosomal RNA". It matches the Rfam family "Bacterial small subunit ribosomal RNA", at positions 28 to 507 of the family's 1533-position model. The record is from RNAcentral.